Molecule: signal recognition particle RNA, 255 nt
Filed under: Desulfobacterales bacterium
Lineage: Bacteria; Pseudomonadati; Thermodesulfobacteriota; Desulfobacteria; Desulfobacterales
Description: signal recognition particle sRNA large type
Rfam family: Bacterial large signal recognition particle RNA
About the family: The signal recognition particle (SRP) is a universally conserved ribonucleoprotein involved in the co-translational targeting of proteins to membranes. Archaeal SRP consists of a 7S RNA and homologues of the eukaryotic SRP19 and SRP54 proteins.
Source: RNAcentral
UUGCGCUAAGCGGGGAGCUAGCGGUGUCCUGUUACCCGAAAUCCGCUUAAUGCGGGGCUGAAUUCCCUUUUGAGGGCCUGCACUUCCAUCUGCCAAGGGCUGUACAAGGCCGGGUACCACGCAACAGGCGGUUACGAACCCCGUCAGAUCCGGGAGGAAGCAGCGGUAAGUAAUUCAGCCUGUGUCGUGGACUCACUUCGGCCUAAUUAUUACAGACCGAGGUAUACUGGAAAGGGUUCGAUCAUGGGUGCGCAA